This 586-nucleotide ribosomal RNA is filed under the name uncultured bacterium. RNAcentral's name for it is "bacterial SSU rRNA". It matches the Rfam family "Bacterial small subunit ribosomal RNA", at positions 338 to 917 of the family's 1533-position model. The record is from RNAcentral.
UCUACGGGAGGCAGCAGUAGGGAAUCUUCGGCAAUGGGCGAAAGCCUGACCGAGCAACGCCGCGUGAGCGAUGAAGGCCUUCGGGUCGUAAAGCUCUGUUGUUAGAGAAGAACAAGUACGAGAGUAACUGCUUGUACCUUGACGGUACCUAACCAGAAAGCCACGGCUAACUACGUGCCAGCAGCCGCGGUAAUACGUAGGUGGCAAGCGUUAUCCGGAAUUAUUGGGCGUAAAGCGCGCGCAGGCGGUCUCUUAAGUCUGAUGUGAAAGCCCACGGCUCAACCGUGGAGGGUCAUUGGAAACUGGGAGACUUGAGUGCAGGAGAGAAAAGUGGAAUUCCACGUGUAGCGGUGAAAUGCGUAGGGAUGUGGAGGAACACCAGUGGCGAAGGCGGCUUUUUGGCCUGUAACUGACGCUGAGGCGCGAAAGCGUGGGGAGCAAACAGGAUUAGAUACCCUGGUAGUCCACGCCGUAAACGAUGAGUGCUAGGUGUUGGGGGGUUCCACCCUCAGUGCUGAAGUUAACACAUUAAGCACUCCGCCUGGGGAGUACGACCGCAAGGUUGAAACUCAAAGGAAUUGACGGA